This 274-nucleotide ribosomal RNA is filed under the name uncultured bacterium. RNAcentral's name for it is "partial 16S ribosomal RNA". It matches the Rfam family "Bacterial small subunit ribosomal RNA", at positions 523 to 796 of the family's 1533-position model. The record is from RNAcentral.
AUACGGAGGGUGCAAGCGUUAUUCGGAAUCACUGGGCGUAAAGGACGCGUAGGCGGGUUGGCAAGUGAGAUGUGAAAUCCUACAGCUUAACUGUAGAACUGCAUUUGAAACUGCUAACCUAGAGUAUGGGAGGGGGAGAUGGAAUUAGUGGUGUAGGGGUAAAAUCCGUAGAUAUCACUAGGAAUAACGAAAGCGAAGGCGAUCUCCUGGAACAUAACUGACGCUAAGGCGUGAAAGCGUGGGGAGCAAACAGGAUUAGAUACCCUAGUAGUCC